AUUUUGGAGAUUAAUCCCUUGUCAGUCGAUUCAUUUGCAAAGCUUUUUGCCCAUUCUGUGGGUUGUCUUUUGUUUUGUUUAGGGUUUCCUUUGCUGUGCAAAACUUUUAAGUUUAGUUAAGACCCUUUUGUUUAUUUUUGUUUUUAUUGUCAUUACUCUAGGAGGUGGAUCUGAGAAGAUAUUGUUGUUGUUUAUGUCAAAGAGUGUUUGGCCUAUGUUUUCCUCUAAGAAUUUGGUAGUCUCUGGUCUUAUAUUUAGGUCUUUAAUCCAUUUUGAGUUUAUUUUGUGUAUGGUGUUAGGAUGUGUUCUAAUUUCAUUCUUUUACAUGUGGCUGCCCAGUUUUCCCAGCACCACUUAUUGAAGAGGCUGUCUUUAAUCCAUUUUGAGUUUAUUUUGUGUAUGGUGUUAGGAUGUGUUCUAAUUUCAUUCUUUUACAUGUGGCUGCCCAGUUUUCCCAGCACCACUUAUUGAAGAGGCUGUCUUUUCUCCAUUGUAUAUUCUUGCCUCCUUUGUCAUAGAGUAGUUGGCUGCAGGUGUGUGGGUUUAAUCCUGGGCUUUCAAUCCUGUUCCACUGAUCUAUAUUUCUGUCUUUGUGCCAGUACCAUAUAGUUUUGAGGACUGUAGCUUUGUAGUAUAGUCUGAAGUCAGGGCUUCUGAUUCCUCCAGCUCCAUUUUUCUUCUUCAGGAUGUCUUUGGCUAUUCUGGGUCUUUUGUGCUUCCAAACAAACUUUAAAAUAUUUUGUUCGAGGUAUAUGAACAAUGUACUUGGUAAUUUGAUAGGAAUUGCAUUGAAUCUGUAGAUUGCCUUGGGUAGUAUGGUCAUUUUGAUAACAUUGACUCUUCCAAUCCAAGAGCAUGAUACGUCUUUCCAUCUAUUUGUAUCAUCUUUGAUUUCUUUCAUCAGCUUCUUAUAGUUUUCAGAGUACAGUUCUUUUGUCUCUUUAGGUAGGUUUACUCCUAGGUAUUUUAUUCUUUUGGAUGCGAUGGUAAAUGGGAUUUCUUCCUUAAUUUCUCUUUCUGCUCUUUCAUUGUUAGUGUAUAGAAAUGCCAUUGAUUUCUCUGUAUUAAUUUUGUAUCCUGCAACUUUGCCAAAUACAUGAAUGAGCUCUAACAGUUUUCUGGUAGUUUUUAG
Molecule: long non-coding RNA, 1132 nt
Filed under: Sus scrofa (pig)
Lineage: Eukaryota; Metazoa; Chordata; Mammalia; Artiodactyla; Suidae
Description: lncRNA (ENSSSCG00045018623.1)
Source: RNAcentral